Camelina sativa (false flax) is the source of this 226-nucleotide non-coding RNA. Lineage: Eukaryota; Viridiplantae; Streptophyta; Magnoliopsida; Brassicales; Brassicaceae. The record is from RefSeq and is a predicted model, not a curated record.
ACUCGGAUUUCACAAGUCGUGGUUGCUUCAUUCCGGAAAUCUUCUGUCAAAGUCCCUGAAGACCCCACGCUUCUGUAUGAAACACAAGACAAGAGCUCUGCUAUUGCUGGAAGUAGAAAGAUCGAGCAUACCAAUGAUAGCAAGUAUCUUGACAAAGCCGCUGUUAUCUCAGAAGAAGAGUUAAAGUCUGGAGAUUUUUCCAACUCGUGGAGACUAUGCACUGUAA